Molecule: ribosomal RNA, 582 nt
Filed under: Mrakia cf. gelida DBVPG 10084
Lineage: Eukaryota; Fungi; Basidiomycota; Tremellomycetes; Cystofilobasidiales; Mrakiaceae
Description: eukaryotic LSU rRNA
Rfam family: Eukaryotic large subunit ribosomal RNA
Source: RNAcentral
AGUGAAGCGGGAUGAGCUCAAAUUUAAAAUCUGGCGGCCUCAGGUCGUCCGAGUUGUAGUCUAGAGAAUCGUUUUCCGCGUUGGCCUGUGUACAAGUCCCUUGGAACAGGGCGUCAUAGAGGGUGAGAAUCCCGUCCUUGACACAGAUUACCAAUGCUUUGUGAUGCGAUCUCGAAGAGUCGAGUUGUUUGGGAAUGCAGCUCAAAAUGGGUGGUAAAUUCCAUCUAAAGCUAAAUAUUGGCGAGAGACCGAUAGCGAACAAGUACCGUGAGGGAAAGAUGAAAAGCACUUUGGAAAGAGAGUUAAACAGUACGUGAAAUUGUUAAAAGGGAAACGAUUGAAGUCAGUCAUGCUUUCCGAGACUCAGCCGAUUCUGUCGGUGUACUUCUCGGUUGGCAGGCCAGCAUCAGUUUCGAUCUGUGGAAAAGGUUGGAGGGAACGUGGCAUCCUCGGAUGUGUUAUAGCCCUUCUUCGAAUACAUAGAGCGGGACUGAGGAACGCAGCGCGCCUUUUAUUAGGUUGGCCCUCGGGUACAUACGCGCUUAGGAUGCUGGCAUAAUGGCUUUAAACGACCCGUCUUGA